This is a non-coding RNA of Lolium perenne, 798 nucleotides long. The record is from RefSeq and is a predicted model, not a curated record. Lineage: Eukaryota; Viridiplantae; Streptophyta; Magnoliopsida; Poales; Poaceae.
UUAUUUUUCAGAGACAUGGAAAUGCAUCCUACAAAGAUAUUAGUAUAUAGUAAUCUCAUUCCUUUCUCUUGACUCCUUUCAGGUUUGGAUUAAUUGGGAAAUUCUGAAUUUCGUAACUGAGCCGAAUUUAUAAAAUAAUUAAAUUAUGUAUGGUCCAUCCCACUCCAUUGUCUCCACUUAUCCGUUCCCUUUUAUAUUACACAAAAGUAGUUUCUGAUGUUUACUUUGUUUAUUGUAAGCAUGUAGGAAAUUACAUAACACCGCUCAGAGUUCAGUUUGAAGCUUAUUUGGAAGUGGUUUUCAUUGUCAAUGCACCCUUGUGCUGCUCGCGUCUUUGAUUUUGGGGGCCAACCUACCUACUCCUUGCCCUGAGAAUGUCGUUGGCGGUGCGCUGCUUUUGGGCAUGGCGCCGGUAUUCCUAUCCUCAUCCAAGCUUAUGUUUUCUUCCAUUUCUCUUUUAGAUUUUGUUCAAAUAUAACUUGGUACUACUAGCUAACGACCAGUUUGUUCUAAUUUGGUACAUUGAAAUCGCCAUGUGUUGAUCAUUGAUAUGUGGUGAAGGUUGUCGUUUAUAACAUUUGUUGACUUCAAAAUCAAAGAAAGCCUUGCUGAUUCUGUUCAUUUGGUGCUGCUAAUUACUCCCUCAUAUAUGAACUGGUAUGAAUUUGAAAAAGAGAACUUGUAUGAAUGGAAUGCACGACAAUUGGGCUUGUGACAUUCAUGAUUUGUCUGCAGUUCUAAGAAACUCAAUUUGCUCAGCUGACUUGUGAUGGAAAUUUCUCCUGUUUGUUGGUACAU